This 106-nucleotide ribosomal RNA is filed under the name Erinaceus europaeus (western European hedgehog). Lineage: Eukaryota; Metazoa; Chordata; Mammalia; Eulipotyphla; Erinaceidae. The record is from RNAcentral.
GUCUACGGCCAUACCACCCUGAACACGCCCGAUCUCGCCUCAUCUCGGAAGCUAAGCAGGGUCGGGCCUGGUUAGUACUUGGAUGGGAGAACCAUGGCAGCAGAUU